This 79-nucleotide ribosomal RNA is filed under the name Staphylococcus aureus. RNAcentral's name for it is "partial 16S ribosomal RNA". It matches the Rfam family "Bacterial small subunit ribosomal RNA", at positions 1 to 76 of the family's 1533-position model. The record is from RNAcentral. Lineage: Bacteria; Bacillati; Bacillota; Bacilli; Caryophanales; Staphylococcaceae.
AUUUUUAUGGAGAGUUUGAUCCUGGCUCAGGAUGAACGCUGGCGGCGUGCCUAAUACAUGCAAGUCGAGCGAACGGACG